GGCAUGGUGGCUCAGUGGUUAGAGUGCCCGCUUCAUGAACGGGAGGUCGUGGGUUUGAACCUGGGCCGAGUCA
RNAcentral lists this transfer RNA (73 nucleotides) under Strongylocentrotus purpuratus (purple sea urchin). It matches the Rfam family "tRNA". Rfam says of the family: Transfer RNA (tRNA) molecules are approximately 80 nucleotides in length. Their secondary structure includes four short double-helical elements and three loops (D, anti-codon, and T loops). The record is from Rfam by way of RNAcentral. Lineage: Eukaryota; Metazoa; Echinodermata; Echinoidea; Camarodonta; Strongylocentrotidae.